CAUGAACCAGAAAAGCAGAGAUUCUGCUUGGCAGAACUAAAGGGGAGGUCUCAGGUUCUAGGUAACAGUCAGGAAGUAGUCAUGUUGAUGGAGCUUAUGAGCCAGAAAAACAUGAACGGUCAAAGGACAAAGAGAUCCACAGGAAAUAAGGAGCAGGGCAAGAAACUAGAAGAAGCAAAUGGCACUGACAAGGCAAACGGAAGCAUUAUUGUCCACCUGCCCUCUUAACUCAUUAAGACAAAGUCCACGGUGAAUCUCAGUCAACGGUGACUGAAAGCAGCUGAUUUGGUAGUUAAUGCAGUUGCAGGGGCAGGGGGCAUGGACAGACAGUUGUCUGCGGCAGUAGGAAGUAGGGGUGGGCAGAAGGCACUUCAGCCAACCUCCUCCCACUCUAACAAGCACAGUGCUGCUGUGGAAUGCCGCAAGUGUGUGCGACGGGCCUGGUGGAUUGACUGCAGUGAGCUGGACUGUAGAGCUGAGAUGUGUCCAGAACAGCGGUUUCCCAUCAAGGACAUAGGAAGCCAUGCCGACGUGGGGGAGAAAAAUAGAGAUCAGUGA
Molecule: long non-coding RNA, 558 nt
Filed under: Sus scrofa (pig)
Lineage: Eukaryota; Metazoa; Chordata; Mammalia; Artiodactyla; Suidae
Description: lncRNA (ENSSSCG00030043075.1)
Source: RNAcentral